Molecule: long non-coding RNA, 5367 nt
Organism: Neofelis nebulosa (Clouded leopard)
Lineage: Eukaryota; Metazoa; Chordata; Mammalia; Carnivora; Felidae
Exons: 2
Source: RefSeq, a predicted model, not a curated record
AUUAUUCUGAUGGUAUUGCUGAGUUCCCCUAAGUCUGUCUUCAUUUUUGGUUGUUUUUUUCCUCUCUCUGUUCAGCUUGAUUGUUUUCUAUUAUUCUGUCCUACAGGUCAUUGAUCCAUUCUUCUUCCUCUAGUCCACUGUUUAUUCCAUCUACUAUAUUAUGAAUUUCACUUACUGAGUUCUUUAUCUCAGAUUGGUUCUUUUUAUGUUUUCUAUCUGUUAAGGGUCUCACUAAGGUCCUCCACUCUUUUCUCCAAUCCUGUGAGUAUCUUUAUGACCAUUACUUUAAAUUCUUCAUCAGGAAUAUAUACUAUUUUGUUCCAUUUUGUUUAGCUCUCGUUACGAUUUUGUCCUGUUCAUUUGUGGUAUAUUCCUGUAUCUCAUUUUGUCUCUCUGUGCCUGUUUCUGGGUAUUAGGAGAGUCAGCUACCUCUCCUGCUCUCGAAAGUUAUGGUCUUAUGAAGAAGAGGUCCUGUGGUCCCUGCAGUGCAGUUCCCCUGUUUACCAGGACUGUGUGCUUUAGGGGAUGUCUGCUGUGUAUGUUGUGAGUGCCCUUUUAUAGUGGCUUCAGUCCGGUCAUCUACAAUGAUGCCUGUUGUGGGCAGGGUUUGGUCCCUGAGUUGUCAGUGGGCCAGUCUGGGGCCGCAUCUGGCUUGAGUUGAGUCAGACCAGGUGUUUGCUAGAGAUGCAGUAGCACCGAACUACUGGGCGGUUUCCUUGUGUUGUCCCAAGAAGCUUCUGUUGGUGGUUAGGGCCUGCAGUCCAACCAAAUAUCUGUUCCCAGCCCAUUGCUGGGACCAUAGUCAGAGUGGUGUGUGUGAUUGUCUUCUCCUUUCCCUGGGGCAGGAGUAAUGCUGUUCCCCGUCUGGGCUGCAUGCACAUUGUCAGGCUUGUAACGCUCACUGCUUUGGAUGGGCUCUGGCCAAAGGGUGCCCUGGAGGGAGCAGGUCCACAGGAGAAUGUGGGGAUGCACUUGGGAGGGGACCUGUGGUCACCCAAAAUCCCUGCCGAGGCGUCUGGGUUGGAGGGGACAGAUCCACAGAAGUGUGGGGAUGGGGUGCAUGUUGUUAUCAAGCCAGCUGGAGAGUGUUGUACUCUGCUGGUUCCUGCAGCUGUCCCUGUAUCUAGGCUGGGGGGUGGAGGAGGGAAAUAGCAUUCACCAGUUCCUUUGUUCUUGAAGGAGUCUCCCAAGAAUCCCUGCCCUGCGCCUUCAGAACAUGCUCUGAGGUUAGUAAACGAGUCUCCCUCCCGUACACCCAGGUGUUUUUCAGACUGCUGCUUCUAUGUUGUAUCUCCACAGGGCUGUUUGUUGUGCUAUUUAGUGGCAAGGAGUCAGUUGACUCUUGUCCUCUCCCAGAGCUGAGCCCUCAUAUUUAAAGUUCAGACUGAUUCUAAGAACUAGUGAAAUUAUGCUAUUUUGAUUUUCAAAGCUAAAUGUUAGGGGAUUCAUCUUCCCUGUAUGGGCUCCUGUGCCUGGGGUGCCUGGUGUGAGGGUCUGUUUCUUGUCCCUGUCCGUAUCUGGGGCGUCCCUCCCUCGCAUGAAUGGUCUUGUGGUCCAUUUAGUUUCCAACCAGGUCUCUACCUUUCCUGUCCUCUUCGGUGUGGACUCUAAUCUACAUUUAGCUGUGGAGAGUUUCUUCUGCCCUGUUCUAUUUUUAAAGCAUUUAUAAACAGUGUUUUUAAUUUAUCUUCUUGCUAGGUCAUUAUUAGUUUAUAGAAAGGCAGCAGAUUUCUGUAUAUUGAUUUUGUAUCCUUCAGCUUUUACUGAAUUCAUUUAUUACAAUGGUAUUUUUGGUCUUUAGAAUUUUCUAUAUAGAAUAGUAUGUCGUCUACAAAUAGUGACGGUUCUACUUCUUGCUUACCAAUUUGGAUGUCUUUUAUUUAUUAUAUGAUCAUUAUGGCUCAGAUUUCUGUACUGUGUUGAGUAAACACGGUGAGAGCAGAUGUCCUUGUCCUGUUCCUGAUCUUAGAGGAAAAGCCUUCAGCUUUUCAUUAUUGGGUAUGAGGUUAGCUGUGGGUUUGGGCUUUUAUUAUGUUGAAGCAUAUAUACCCACUUUGUUGAGAGUUGUUACCAUGAACAGGUGUUGAGUUUUGUCAUAUGUUUUUUCCUGUAUUUAUUGAGACCAUGAUUUUGAAUCCUUCAUUUUGUUAAUGUGUAUCAUCACAUUGAUUUGCAGAUACUGAACUAUCCUUGUAUCCCUGGAAUAAAUCCUUUUUGAUCUUGCAGGCUGAACUUUGGUCUGCACUGAAGAUGCACUGUCACCAAGUGACAGGGCUGCCUUUGGGUAAAGCCUCAGAGUCCAAAUGGCCAAUUGAUCGUCCACAGGUGAGUUAUCCAUAGAGAUUUAACACUAUUUAUGACAACACUGUGUUUUUGUAAUAGAAUUUGUUAUUACAGCAGUUAAGUUUGAGGACUGAAGGAGCCACUAAUUUGAUAAUAUGUAAUGUAUACAGAGUAAGAUUUAAAGAAAUAUGAAUGCCCAGAAACAAUACUUUAUUCAUUAAUGCUUAAUUGUUAUCAAUGACAGCUUAAUCUAACCUUGAUUUUGCCAUGUGGUUUAUGCAGAAUGCCUUUUCAAUUCACUGAUUAUCAACACACUGUGAAAGUCCACUGGGGUCAUAGAAAUGACUUCUCAGUCCAAUGUGCUACUCAUGUCACCGGACUCCUGUCUUUGGGGCUAAUGCACAGUCAACACACCUUCCUACCAUCUCUGCAAUGGCUCACAGGAGGUUGUGAAGAGGUCUCUGAGGAUAUUAGGUUUGGAUUUCCCGAAGCAGAAAAGAUUAACUAACUGUCAUCUUCAUUGUGGUUGUUUUCUACAUAAACUUAUCUAAUGUUCAAUCUGUAACAACUGGUCUCCAGCAACCACAUACACCCAGGGUUAGAAAUAAUACUUUGUAUUAGGGUUUAGAGGAACUAACCCACUUCAGGGAAGCUCAAGGGUGGAAAGAGCACUUGAAGUCAGAUCAGGCCACUUAUUAGCUGGACGGUCCUGGGCAAGUCAUGUCACACUUCUGAGCCACAGUAUCCUCAUCUGUAAAAUGAACAUAAACCACCGAGCAAAUACUACAUACUGAAUAAGACUAGAUUGCUUUGCAGGAAUUUUCAGUUCUCAUCAGGCCCCAAACUAUCUUCCUAACUUGAUCUCUUACCCAUUCCUUCCAGAUGCAUUGUUUCCAGCCUGUAGGCCUUUGCACCUGGCUGCUGUCUCAGCCUAGAAUGCCCUCUACCUCAUUUCAGCAUAUAAAGAUCCUCCUUUCCCUCCAGGCAACUCAAUGCCACCUGUUUUAAAAAGCUUUUUUAUUUUUUUUUAAUUUUUUGCUCUUUUAAGCCAAAGGGUCAGCUUUCUCUCCCUUAAAAUUCUAUCGCACGUUUUAUGAAAUCUUGCACAACAUUUAUCACAAGCUGCCUUGUUUAACUGUAAACAGAUUCACUCUCCCCUAUUAGCACACAGUCUCAAAGUGCAUUCCUUUUCUGGCACAAUGCUUGGCACAGUGGCUUGUGUGUAAAAAAUGGCCAAGAAAUGCUGGCAGGAGCAAGAAAAUCGUUGAUAUUUACUAAUAUAAAGAGCUAAGUGAACUUACGGGGAGACUCUUGCCCUGCUCCUUUUCUGUGGGUUGCAUUAUGGGUUGCCCUCCAUCCCAGGCCCUUAUAUUCUGUAAGGUGGAUGGACCAUGUGAACGUGGAUGACGAGUUUCAUGCCACGUGCCCACGUGAACUGUUCUGGCAAAAAUAACCUGCUUUGUCCAUGAUCACCAGAGGGUUUGUGAGAACAGUCACAUCAAACACAUUCUUCAGAGGAUGGCCUGUCAACAGAACUAGUAAAUGUGACCUUAAGCAUAAACCCCAGUGACCUGGUAAGUGGAUAGAGGAUACUUUCCUCCAUCACAAGCCAUCCAUCAUUCUCCAGGAGGAUAAAAAAUGCUUUCUCUCCUCUACCCUGCUGUCCAGGCCACCUCCAUUAGCCGUGAUGGUUCACAGUGGUCAGUGGGCCUCCUAGUAGCAGGCCACAGCCUCUCCUCUGCUUUUUUGGGUUCCUCACGGAUCAAAACAGCAAAAUAGCUUCAUUCAACAGGUCUAUACAGCUUGGCAUAUGUUUGAGCCUAACUUGUUUUCUUUCACCUAAAACUAUGAAAAGAAGUUAUGUAAAACCUACUAGAAGGCUCUGAUGGGACUCUCUUCUGAACAGCAGGGUUACUUAGUAGUUAUGUCCAUACCAUGAAAAUCUUGGGUACCAUUUUACAUGUAUUGAUAUUAUUAAGAAUUAUCAACCAUUAUUAUCGUAGGAUUGCCACUCCUUCAUUCAGCACCUCUUGAGCACCCGUGUGGUAGGCAACGUGCCAGGAGCCAGGGACGCAACGUCCAACAAGACACGUCAGAUUUCAUGGAGCGGAUACUCUUGCAAGGGAGAAAAGUGGACAUUUACUUAUUAACUUGCUAAAUAAAACAGCAGUAAGUCCAGUGAGGGAAAAGUGCCAAGAUAACACAUCUAGAAUAACCUGAUCUCACUCUUAGUUUGUUUAGGGGUGGAGAGGCCAAGGCUGGUUUUCCCUAAGAACUGGCUUGUGAGUAAGCUCUGAAGGAUAAAGAUGCAAAAAAUAAAUAAAAAUGUACAAUUUAAAAGGAGGGGGAGACAAUUCUAUAGGAGUGGAAAGCAUUAUUAUUAAUAAAAGAACAAAACUAUUUUGCUUGUUUUCUCUACUGUUUUGUCUUUGGAGGAACUGCAUACCCGUUUUGAUUUUUUCCCCCAGGGUAAUUCAGCAGGUUAAUCUUCAAAGAAUGAUCAUCUUUCCUGUGGAUUUCACAAGGUUUUGCCUCGGACAAGUUUGCUUUCAGAAGCCUGAAACCACAGAGCUGGCAUUGUAUGGAGAACUCCACAGCAUACUUUUGUCUUUUGAGAGACAAUUCUAUGAGGUUAAUGUUUACUGAGCAGCUACUGUGUGCCAGUGAGUCAAGUUCUCUGAGUACGUUUUCUCAUUUAAUCUGUGACAGGUACCAUAGCCAUCACCUCCACCUGACAGAUGAGGAAACUGAGGCACAAAAAGGCCAAUUUGGCCAAGGGCACCCUGCUGGUGAGUGGCAGAGUCCAGAUUGGGAGACCAGCAGUGAGGGACUCAUCUUGACAUCCUGCUGCUGGCCAAAUACACCACAGGCUUCCCCACCUCCCAUGCCUUUGCUCAAGCCCUUUGCCCCACCUGGAACGCCAACUGUUCCUUCUCUCCUCCCCAUCUCCGCCUGAUAAGUUCUCCUUCUAAGCCCCAUCUGAAACAUGACUUCCAUUGUAAAACCACCCUCCUUUCUCAGAUUAGAAACUGUAAAGAUAAAGGUACCAAGACAAAAAUAAAGGGCAAAAAAAUUUGUUCCUGC